GUCCGGUCUGGAAUGAUUGACAGGUCCAAUGGCACCCGUUGGCUUGUGUUAACCAGUUUUCUUCCUUCGGCUGAUUCUACCAGUAGACACUGAAAGGACUCUGAUAGUUCGAGUGAAGGUAGCAGUUGCUCCUGAAGGUCAGAGAUUGCAGCAUCUGAGGGCCUCUUCAAAAGAAGACGUAGUUGAUGAAGGCGUUCUGGAGCAGGACCAGAAAUACCACGACCAAGCAGCCUUGAGAUCUUAGGCAGCAUCUCCCUCGGACCAAAGAACUACAGACUCUUCACAACCUGCUCAAACUCUUGGUACAGGACCUCACCACACGGGUCAAGAAGGUUUCCUUCUCAUUUCUACUCUGAAGCUCACCUUCUCCUGCUCAAACUGCUGACAAAUGUUUCUGCUGC
Molecule: long non-coding RNA, 401 nt
Organism: Amphiprion ocellaris (clown anemonefish)
Lineage: Eukaryota; Metazoa; Chordata; Actinopteri; Pomacentridae
Source: Ensembl